UGGGGAAUAUUGCACAAUGGGCGAAAGCCUGAUGCAGCGACGCCGCGUGAGGGAUGACGGCCUUCGGGUUGUAAACCUCUUUCAGUAGGGAAGAAGCGAAAGUGACGGUACCUGCAGAAGAAGCGCCGGCUAACUACGUGCCAGCAGCCGCGGUAAUACGUAGGGCGCAAGCGUUAUCCGGAAUUAUUGGGCGUAAAGAGCUCGUAGGCGGUUUGUCGCGUCUGCCGUGCAAGUCCGGGGCUCAACUCCGGAUCGGCGGUGGGUACGGGCAGACUAGAGUGAUGUAGGGGAGACUGGAAUUCCUGGUGUAGCGGUGAAAUGCGCAGAUAUCAGGAGGAACACCGAUGGCGAAGGCAGGUCUCUGGGCAUUAGCUGACGCUGAGGAGCGAAAGCAUGGGGAGCGAACAGG
Molecule: ribosomal RNA, 409 nt
Filed under: bacterium
Lineage: Bacteria
Description: partial 16S ribosomal RNA
Rfam family: Bacterial small subunit ribosomal RNA
Source: RNAcentral